AGCGUACACGGUGGAUGCCCUGGCAGUCAGAGGCGAUGAAGGACGUGCUAAUCUGCGAAAAGCGCCGGCGAGGUGAUAUGAACCUUUGACCCGGCGAUGUCCGAAUGGGGAAACCCAGUGCAAUUCGUUGCACUAUCGUUAACUGAAUACAUAGGUUAACGAGGCGAACCGGGGGAACUGAAACAUCUAAGUACCCCGAGGAAAAGAAAUCAACCGAGAUUCCCCCAGUAGCGGCGAGCGAACGGGGAGCAGCCCAGAGUCUGAAUCAGCUUGUGUGUUAGUGGAAGCGUCUGGAAAGUCGCACGGUACAGGGUGACAGUCCCGUACACGAAAGCACACAGGUUGUGAACUCGAAGAGUAGGGCGGGACACGUGGUAUCCUGUCUGAAUAUGGGGGGACCAUCCUCCAAGGCUAAAUACUCCUGACUGACCGAUAGUGAACCAGUACCGUGAGGGAAAGGCGAAAAGAACCCCGGCGAGGGGAGUGAAAAAGAACCUGAAACCGUGUACGUACAAGCAGUGGGAGCACCUUCGUGGUGUGACUGCGUACCUUUUGUAUAAUGGGUCAGCGACUUAUAUUCUGUAGCAAGGUUAACCGUAUAGGGGAGCCGAAGGGAAACCGAGUCUUAACUGGGCGUUAAGUUGCAGGGUAUAGACCCGAAACCCGGUGAUCUAGCCAUGGGCAGGUUGAAGGUUGGGUAACACUAACUGGAGGACCGAACCGACUAAUGUUGAAAAAUUAGCGGAUGACUUGUGGCUGGGGGUGAAAGGCCAAUCAAACCGGGAGAUAGCUGGUUCUCCCCGAAAGCUAUUUAGGUAGCGCCUCGUGAACUCAUCUUCGGGGGUAGAGCACUGUUUCGGCUAGGGGGCCAUCCCGGCUUACCAACCCGAUGCAAACUACGAAUACCGAAGAAUGUUAUCACGGGAGACACACGGCGGGUGCUAACGUCCGUCGUGAAGAGGGAAACAACCCAGACCGCCAGCUAAGGUCCCAAAGUCAUGGUUAAGUGGGAAACGAUGUGGGAAGGCACAGACAGCCAGGAUGUUGGCUUAGAAGCAGCCAUCAUUUAAAGAAAGCGUAAUAGCUCACUGGUCGAGUCGGCCUGCGCGGAAGAUGUAACGGGGCUAAACCAUGCACCGAAGCUGCGGCAGCGACGCUUAUGCGUUGUUGGGUAGGGGAGCGUUCUGUAAGCCGUUGAAGGUGUCCUGUGAGGGGUGCUGGAGGUAUCAGAAGUGCGAAUGCUGACAUAAGUAACGAUAAAGCGGGUGAAAAGCCCGCUCGCCGGAAGACCAAGGGUUCCUGUCCAACGUUAAUCGGGGCAGGGUGAGUCGACCCCUAAGGCGAGGCCGAAAGGCGUAGUCGAUGGGAAACAGGUUAAUAUUCCUGUACUUGGUGUUACUGCGAAGGGGGGACGGAGAAGGCUAUGUUAGCCGGGCGACGGUUGUCCCGGUUUAAGCAUGUAGGCGGAGGUUCCAGGUAAAUCCGGUACCUUUUUAACGCUGAGGUGUGAUGACGAGGCACUACGGUGCUGAAGUAACAAAUGCCCUGCUUCCAGGAAAAGCCUCUAAGCAUCAGGUAACAUCAAAUCGUACCCCAAACCGACACAGGUGGUCAGGUAGAGAAUACCAAGGCGCUUGAGAGAACUCGGGUGAAGGAACUAGGCAAAAUGGUGCCGUAACUUCGGGAGAAGGCACGCUGAUAUGUAGGUGAAGCCCCUGCGGGUGGAGCUGAAAUCAGUCGAAGAUACCAGCUGGCUGCAACUGUUUAUUAAAAACACAGCACUGUGCAAACACGAAAGUGGACGUAUACGGUGUGACGCCUGCCCGGUGCCGGAAGGUUAAUUGAUGGGGUUAGCGGCAACGCGAAGCUCUUGAUCGAAGCCCCGGUAAACGGCGGCCGUAACUAUAACGGUCCUAAGGUAGCGAAAUUCCUUGUCGGGUAAGUUCCGACCUGCACGAAUGGCGUAAUGAUGGCCAGGCUGUCUCCACCCGAGACUCAGUGAAAUUGAACUCGCUGUGAAGAUGCAGUGUACCCGCGGCAAGACGGAAAGACCCCGUGAACCUUUACUAUAGCUUGACACUGAACACUGGUCCUUGAUGUGUAGGAUAGGUGGGAGGCUUUGAAGCGUGGACGCCAGUCUGCGUGGAGCCAACCUUGAAAUACCACCCUUUAAUGGCUGGUGUUCUAACGUAGACCCGUGAUCCGGGUUGCGGACAGUGUCUGGUGGGUAGUUUGACUGGGGCGGUCUCCUCCCAAAGAGUAACGGAGGAGCACGAAGGUUAGCUAAUCCUGGUCGGACAUCAGGAGGUUAGUGCAAUGGCAUAAGCUAGCUUGACUGCGAGAGUGACGGCUCGAGCAGGUGCGAAAGCAGGUCAUAGUGAUCCGGUGGUUCUGAAUGGAAGGGCCAUCGCUCAACGGAUAAAAGGUACUCCGGGGAUAACAGGCUGAUACCGCCCAAGAGUUCAUAUCGACGGCGGUGUUUGGCACCUCGAUGUCGGCUCAUCACAUCCUGGGGCUGAAGUAGGUCCCAAGGGUAUGGCUGUUCGCCAUUUAAAGUGGUACGCGAGCUGGGUUUAGAACGUCGUGAGACAGUUCGGUCCCUAUCUGCCGUGGGCGCUGGAGAAUUGAGGGGGGCUGCUCCUAGUACGAGAGGACCGGAGUGGACGCAUCACUGGUGUUCGGGUUGUCAUGCCAAUGGCACUGCCCGGUAGCUAAAUGCGGAAAAGAUAAGUGCUGAAAGCAUCUAAGCACGAAACUUGCCCCGAGAUGAGUUCU
This 2775-nucleotide ribosomal RNA is filed under the name Enterobacter asburiae. RNAcentral describes it as "bacterial LSU rRNA". It matches the Rfam family "Bacterial large subunit ribosomal RNA". The record is from RNAcentral. Lineage: Bacteria; Pseudomonadati; Pseudomonadota; Gammaproteobacteria; Enterobacterales; Enterobacteriaceae.